AUUGAACGCUGGCGGCAGGCCUAACACAUGCAAGUCGAGCGGUAGCACAGAGAGCUUGCUCUCGGGUGACGAGCGGCGGACGGGUGAGUAAUGUCUGGGAAACUGCCUGAUGGAGGGGGAUAACUACUGGAAACGGUAGCUAAUUCCGCAUAACGUCGCAAGACCAAAGAGGGGGACCUUCGGGCCUCUUGCCAUCAGAUGUGCCCAGAUGGGAUUAGCUAGUAGGUGGGGUAACGGCUCACCUAGGCGACGAUCCCUAGCUGGUCUGAGAGGAUGACCAGCCACACUGGAACUGAGACACGGUCCAGACUCCUACGGGAGGCAGCAGUGGGGAAUAUUGCACAAUGGGCGCAAGCCUGAUGCAGCCAUGCCGCGUGUAUGAAGAAGGCCUUCGGGUUGUAAAGUACUUUCAGCGGGGAGGAAGGUGUUGAGGUUAAUAACCUCAGCAAUUGACGUUACCCGCAGAAGAAGCACCGGCUAACUCCGUGCCAGCCGCCGCAGUAA
RNAcentral lists this ribosomal RNA (504 nucleotides) under uncultured bacterium. RNAcentral describes it as "partial 16S ribosomal RNA". It matches the Rfam family "Bacterial small subunit ribosomal RNA", at positions 30 to 523 of the family's 1533-position model. The record is from RNAcentral.